GAAAAAUGAAAACCUCUUUUAUCUCUUCAACAGACAGAUGGAUGUACCUUGUAGCAGCCUUCAGUGCAGCUCGUGAGAGAAUCCUGACUCAGUUUUGGAGGGCCCUUCCACACUUCAAGGACCAGCUCCGGGACCACCACCCCCAGGAAAGCUUCCAGAAUCUUGUGGCACAUUGUAAAGUCCUCUUCCUGCCUCGGUUUGGAGUGGGUCAGCCUCCUUAGAGUGUGUGUAAGCCUUUCUGGAAUUUUUACUGCAAUAGUAAUGCAUAACGAUGAAGAAUAUGAACCCGGGCUUAGUCAGACUGCGGAUCGAAUGCUGGCUCUGCCACGCAGCAGCUGUGGGACUUUGGGCAAAUUAUUUCGUCUCUUCAACCCUCAAUUUUCUUAUCAAUGAAAUGGAAAGUAUGAUAUUUUCCUUGAGCUUCUGUUGUAGGAUUACUGGAGGAAUUAUGUGAGAUAUUUGUAAAGCAUCUAACCUAGGACCUGCUUAUAUUAUA
Molecule: long non-coding RNA, 496 nt
Filed under: Equus asinus (donkey)
Lineage: Eukaryota; Metazoa; Chordata; Mammalia; Perissodactyla; Equidae
Description: lncRNA (ENSEASG00005024314.1)
Source: RNAcentral